Molecule: ribosomal RNA, 448 nt
Filed under: uncultured bacterium
Lineage: Bacteria
Description: bacterial SSU rRNA
Rfam family: Bacterial small subunit ribosomal RNA
Source: RNAcentral
UUUCGAAUCAUUCACAAUGGGCGAAAGCCUGAUGGUGCGACGCCGCGUGGGGGAUGAAGGUCUUCGGAUUGUAAACCCCUGUCACCGGGGAAGAAACGCUUCAAUUUAACAGAUUGAAGCCUGACUUAACCCGGAGAGGAAGCAGUGGCUAACUCUGUGCCAGCAGCCGCGGUAAUACAGAGACUGCAAGCGUUAUUCGGAUUCACUGGGCGUAAAGGGUGCGCAGGCGGCUAAGUGUGUCAGAUGUGAAAUCCCGAGGCUCAACCUCGGAACUGCGUCUGAAACUACUUGGCUAGAGUAUUGGAGAGGGUAACGGAAUUCACGGUGUAGCAGUGAAAUGCGUAGAUAUCGUGAGGAACACCAGAGGCGAAGGCGGUUACCUGGACAAUUACUGACGCUCAGGCACGAAAGCGUGGGGAGCAAAAGGGAUUAGAUACCCCCGUAGUCC